GCGGGUAUAACUCAGUGGUAGAGUGCAACCUUGCCAAGGUUGAAGUCGUGGGUUCAAAUCCCAUUACCCGCUCCA
RNAcentral lists this transfer RNA (75 nucleotides) under Acidobacteriota bacterium. RNAcentral describes it as "tRNA-Gly". It matches the Rfam family "tRNA". Rfam says of the family: Transfer RNA (tRNA) molecules are approximately 80 nucleotides in length. Their secondary structure includes four short double-helical elements and three loops (D, anti-codon, and T loops). Further hydrogen bonds mediate the characteristic L-shaped molecular structure. tRNAs have two regions of fundamental functional importance: the anti-codon, which is responsible for specific mRNA codon recognition, and the 3' end, to which the tRNAs corresponding amino acid is attached (by aminoacyl-tRNA synthetases). tRNAs cope with the degeneracy of the genetic code in two manners: having more than one tRNA (with a specific anti-codon) for a particular amino acid; and 'wobble' base-pairing, i.e. permitting non-standard base-pairing at the 3rd anti-codon position. RNAcentral also lists the same sequence under 1 other name. The record is from RNAcentral. Lineage: Bacteria; Pseudomonadati; Acidobacteriota.